GUAAGUUCAUUAGUUUCGGUAAUUGGAUUAUUCUUCUCCUUCUCUUCAGCUAGUUAUGGAGAACUGAAUAGGAUUGCAAUACUUUCUUGCUCUUGAUUGGUGGUAGGUUCUUGGUGACUGAAGGUCUAGGAAUCCAUGGAAGACGCAGCAUCAGAGGUGUUCAUGGAAACAACCAUUUGUUGUGCAGAAACACCAAGAGCUAGCCAUUCAUCUUCUUAUCUGCAGCAAUGUCACUCGAGAAGGUUAGCAAGCAUACACAAUCUUUUCAGCAGGCUGCUGAUAAAUUUUGUUCUUCUAGGCUCUUACAAUUUUUGCAGAAAGCAUUUGCGAGAUAAUAGCAGCUAGAAGAAAGCAGAAUCGAUUAAUGUAUAGAUAAGCAGGGCAACUCUAAUCGUUUUUAUCAAUGUCCAAUAUAUUGUUCAUCACCAUUUGGUUGCAUCAUAAUUCAGAGGCAGCAGCAUUUUGCUGCAUCAAGCCUCCCUUUUUUUUCUGUGUUGCGGUGCUGUGUCAUUUUCUACACCAACUCACUUGACAAACUGUCAGGUGAGACCGUGAGACAUGUUACUGUAAAUGAUGUUGAAAGUUGCUCUUCUAGAAACAGCAAAAUCCCCCUUUAUUGUGAGCGUGAAGAAGAAUAGCAACGUACACAGUUGUACAAGCAAAUCAUCCAGCACACUAUCUGUUCCUAUUGUCUGCUAUCUUUGACUACAAAACAUCUGAUUCACUAUUCUCAGCUGCUUAGCUUUCAGUUUGUUUGAAUGAUUAUUCUGAUUAAGCAGCGUUCUUACUUUAGUUCUUGUAUUUUCAGCGUUGUAAGCACACAUGGAAAUGUAUUGGACAUAUCGCCUCGACUCUCUUAUCACAAACCUGUGGGUAAUUUAAAUUCCCUAUUUUGUUAGUUAUUUUGUUAAUAACUUUUCCCCGGUGUCUUGUUUCAAAUAAGCAAAAGUUACUACAAACUUAAAUUACUACUUUCUUACUGAAUUUUGCUUUAAUGAUAUUAUUUUCAUGAUUGUGCAGACAACCAACAAAGAUAAGAUGCUCCGCAGAAGAUAUUCUCUUAACCUGCCAGAGCAUUUGCCUGAGCAUCACGUGAUUACAAGUGCAGAACAAAGUGAGAAAACCAUAUCAAAGGUUUGCUCCACAUCCUCAUAAGUUGCAUAGUAUUUCAUGAUCUCAAGGUCCUAUUUGUUUCCAAAAGCUGAAGAAAAGCUGUUCAGUUCAGGUUUUAUACCCGUACUUUUGUUCUAAUCAUCUUGCUUUUUUUCAAAAUAACUUGAGGCCUUAAGAAUAGUAACAAAGAUCAUGUGCCAUAAUAAUGAUACUCUGAAAACAGUGUUCCAACUUUAAAAUUCAAAACGAAGUGAAAAGGCAAAUGAAAUUAUAAACAUUUAGUUAUCGAUAUCUGAUCACUGACCUUGUGGUUCCUGCAGUCUAUUGCAGACUUAGUUUGGGAGAUAGCAGCCCUUGAGGAGGAAGUUGUUCGCAAGGAACUGCAUUUGCUUUCCCUCUACAGGGCAGCAUUUGAUCAACACCUAGGUGUAUCCCCUCGUGUUUCUACCCAGGUACAUGCCUUGCACCUUGGAUGGAUCAAUUUUCAGAACUAUACUGCACAUAAAUUCAGAGAGUAUACAGUAUAUUUAGGUUUACAAUCAUGAUCAGGUGGAUCAAGAAAUACACCAUCAGAAAAGCAGAAAGAAAGCUGAUGAAGGUGCCCUCCGAUUGAGAAAUAUCAAGGAGUCAGCAUCCUACAACUUGCCAACAGUAUCAACAGUUUCAGAUUCUAAACAUGUAUGAACAAUCUCUUCUUUUAGUUCUUCUGAUAAAACUUACCAGUUUGUGCCAGUUUCAGUUAUAUCUUUUUCCUCUUCAAAGUACAGGUUUUAGCUCAGGCACAAACAUAUGGUUUUCUGUCAAAAUCUCUCAAACUGAGAAAAUCUAUCUUUCAUGUUUUUCACAGGGG
Molecule: long non-coding RNA, 1963 nt
Filed under: Oryza sativa (Asian cultivated rice)
Lineage: Eukaryota; Viridiplantae; Streptophyta; Magnoliopsida; Poales; Poaceae
Description: long non-coding RNA (OSAT_LNC001553)
Source: RNAcentral